Molecule: long non-coding RNA, 1797 nt
Filed under: Oryza sativa Indica Group (long-grained rice)
Lineage: Eukaryota; Viridiplantae; Streptophyta; Magnoliopsida; Poales; Poaceae
Description: lncRNA OsMH63_04G025630
Source: RNAcentral
AACUCACCAUCUAGCCAUCAAUUCGCCCAAAUAUUCAGAACAACGUUUUCUCGUCUCCCUAUCACUGUCCUGAUCUGCAUUGCUGCAUUAGCACUCGUUGUACGGUUCAUCUCCCGCGAUGCAGCCGCCGUCCAUGAGCCAGUUGCUGCUGCUCCUACUUCCGACGACGACUCAAUUGGCGGCGGCGGGCUUUCUUUCAUCCUCUGGUCGAUGAAUUUAGAUAUGAACAAACUUGGGAGCUUCAGCCAGGAGAAAAAAAAUUAUGUUUCCAUGCACAUUUCAGCAGCUGCUUGUAGUUUUAGCCAGCCAUCAAUUCUUUCAAAUCUUUGCAACAUGUUUUCUCCUCUCCCUGUCACUGUUCUUGUUAGCAUUGCUGCAUUGGCGUUCAUCUCCGGCGAUGCAACCAUCGUCCAUGAGCCAGUUGCUGCUGCUGCUGCACCUUCUUCUGACGAGGCUGAUUCCAUCGACGGCGGCGGUGGCGGAUUUUCUCUCCCCCUCGUUCGCCGGAGGUCCACCACCACCACCACCACCAUGAUCGACGUUGCCAAAGAGGAGAUCCAGCUUGCCACCGCCAUCGCCGCCGGAGACAAGAAGCUCCUCGUGCCGUUGUACGGCCGGCCACAAGGCGGCAGCACCUACCUCGUGCAGCUCCGCAUCGGCACGCCCACGGACCGGAUCUCGCCGAGGUACGUCCUGUUCGACACCGGCAGCGACCUCUCGUGGACGCAGUGCGAGCCCUGCACCAACUGCUCCUCCUUCACCCCGUACCCGCCCCACGAUCCGUCCAAGUCCCGCACGUUCCGCCGCCUCUCCUGCUUCGACCCGAUGUGCGAGUUGUGCACCGCCGUCGUCGAUGGCGGAGGCGGAUCUGCAGGGUGCCUGUUCAGGCGGCGCUACGGCGACGGCGGCGCCGUGUCAGGUGAGCUCGUGUCGGACGUCUUCCACUUCGGCGCGGCAGGCGACGGCGGCGGGUACCAGCUUGAGCGGGACGUCGCGUUCGGCUGCGCGCACGUCGAGGAUUCCAAGGCUGUCAGGGGUUACAGCACCGGCAUCCUCGCGCUUGGCAUCGGCAAGCCGUCGUUCGUGACGCAGCUGGGUGUGGAUAGGUUCUCGUACUGCAUCCCAGCAUCAGAGAUAACCGACGACGACGACGACGACGACGAGGAGAGAUCGGCGAGCUUCCUCCGGUUUGGUUCUCACGCAAGAAUGACAGGGAAGAGGGCCCCGUUCAAGCAGGACGGCAGCGGCUACGCCGUUCGCCUGAAGAGCGUGGUGUACCAGCACGGCGGUCGCCUGAAUCAGCAGCAACCUGUACCCGUAUAUGUUGCCGGAGAAGAAGCAGCAGCAGCCAUGCCGAUGCUGGUGGACUCCGGAACGACGCUGCUCUGGCUACCGGGCAGCGUCUUCUACCCUCUGCAGAGGAGGAUCGAGGAGGACAUCUCUCUCACCAGGAGUGACGCUCGGCUUCGGUGGAGGCGCGGAUCUCGAGCUGUUUGGCACUUCGCUGUUCUUCACUGACGAGAAUUUAACAGAAGACUGGGUUUGUCUAGCUGUUGCUGCGGGGAACAGGGCGAUACUGGGAGUGUAUCCUCAGCGUAACAUCAACGUCGGGUAUGAUCUGUCCACCAUGGAGAUAGCGUUUGAUCGUGAUCAGUGUGAUCGUGUGUAGUGGUAGCUGAUGUUUGUUAAUAUUUUUCAUGCUGUCGCUCUGCAUUUCAGCUCCUCUCUAAUGUUAGUCUGUAUGAACAGAAGUUAGCAGCGACUAUCAGUGAGAAAUCAUUAUUUUAUAUACAUUAU